Molecule: ribosomal RNA, 1229 nt
Filed under: metagenome
Description: bacterial SSU rRNA
Rfam family: Bacterial small subunit ribosomal RNA
Source: RNAcentral
AACGGCCCACCAAGGCAACGAUCAGUAGGGGUUCUGAGAGGAAGGUCCCCCACAUUGGAACUGAGACACGGUCCAAACUCCUACGGGAGGCAGCAGUGAGGAAUAUUGGUCAAUGGACGAGAGUCUGAACCAGCCAAGUAGCGUGCAGGAAGACGGCCCUAUGGGUUGUAAACUGCUUUUAUAAGGGAAUAAAGUGAGAGUCGUGACUCUUUUUGCAUGUACCUUAUGAAUAAGGACCGGCUAAUUCCGUGCCAGCAGCCGCGGUAAUACGGAAGGUCCGGGCGUUAUCCGGAUUUAUUGGGUUUAAAGGGAGCGUAGGCCGGAGAUUAAGCGUGUUGUGAAAUGUAGACGCUCAACGUCUGCACUGCAGCGCGAGCUGGUUUCCUUGAGUACGCACAAAGUGGGCGGAAUUCGUGGUGUAGCGGUGAAAUGCUUAGAUAUCACGAAGAACUCCGAUUGCGAAGGCAGCUCACUGGAGCGCAACUGACGCUGAAGCUCGAAAGUGCGGGUAUCGAACAGGAUUAGAUACCCUGGUAGUCCGCACGGUAAACGAUGGAUGCCCGCUGUUGGUCUGAAUAGGUCAGCGGCCAAGCGAAAGCAUUAAGCAUCCCACCUGGGGAGUACGCCGGCAACGGUGAAACUCAAAGGAAUUGACGGGGGCCCGCACAAGCGGAGGAACAUGUGGUUUAAUUCGAUGAUACGCGAGGAACCUUACCCGGGCUUGAAUUGCAGAGGAAGGAUUUGGAGACAAUGACGCCCUUCGGGGCCUCUGUGAAGGUGCUGCAUGGUUGUCGUCAGCUCGUGCCGUGAGGUGUCGGCUUAAGUGCCAUAACGAGCGCAACCCCUCUCCUUAGUUGCCAUCAGGUUAAGCUGGGCACUCUGGGGACACUGCCACCGUAAGGUGUGAGGAAGGUGGGGAUGACGUCAAAUCAGCACGGCCCUUACGUCCGGGGCUACACACGUGUUACAAUGGCAGGUACAGAGAGACGGUCCCUUGCAAAACGGAUCAAAUCCUUAAAGCCUGUCUCAGUUCGGACUGGGGUCUGCAACCCGACCCCACGAAGCUGGAUUCGCUAGUAAUCGCGCAUCAGCCAUGGCGCGGUGAAUACGUUCCCGGGCCUUCUACACACCGCCCGUCAAGCCAUGAAAGCCGGGGGCGCCUAAAGUCCGUGACCGUAAGGAGCGGCCUAGGGCGAAACUGGUAAUUGGGGCUAAGUCGUAACAAGGUA